GAUGAACGCUGGCGGCGUGCCUAAUACAUGCAAGUAGAACGCUGAAGGAGUAGCUUGCUCUUCUGGCUGAGUUGCGAACGGGUGAGUAACGCGUAGGUAACCUGCCUGGUAGCGGGGGAUAACUAUUGGAAACGAUAGCUAAUACCGCAUGACAACAGUUAUUGCAUGAUAACUGUUUCAAAUGGGCAACUGCUCCACUACCAGAUGGACCUGCGUUGUUUUAGCUAGUUGGUGAGGUAACGGCUCACCCAGGCGACGAUACAUAGCCGACCUGAGAGGGGGAUCGGCCAGACGGGGACUGGGCCACGGCCCAGGCUCCUACGGGGGGCAGGAGUAGGGGAGCUUCGGAAAUGGACGGAAGUCUGACCGAGCAACGCCGCGUGAGUGAAAAAGGUUUUCGGAGCGUAAAGCUCUGUUGUAAGAGAAGAACGAGUGUGAGAGUGAAAAGUUCACACUGUGACGGUAGCUUACCAGAAAGGGACGGCUAACUACGUG
This 495-nucleotide ribosomal RNA is filed under the name uncultured bacterium. Its description in RNAcentral is "partial 16S ribosomal RNA". It matches the Rfam family "Bacterial small subunit ribosomal RNA", at positions 28 to 507 of the family's 1533-position model. The record is from RNAcentral.